CGUGGCCCUUAUCGGAGCUGCGGCUGUUUCCACGUAGCCACAGAGGAGCCUGGAGUGACAGGUGACCUCUGCAACAUUUUGGGAAAAUAACAGUU
Small nucleolar RNA from Otolemur garnettii (small-eared galago), 95 nucleotides. The record is from Ensembl. NCBI's taxonomy places the organism in Eukaryota, Metazoa, Chordata, Mammalia, Primates, Galagidae.